ACGGAAGGCAGCAGUGAGGAAUAUUGGUCAAUGGGCGGAAGCCUGAACCAGCCAAGUCGCGUGAAGGAAGAAGGUAUUAUGUAUUGUAAACUUCUUUAGUCGCAGAGAAAUAAGGAGGUCGUGACCUCUGAUGCUAGUAUGCGAAGAAUAAGGAUCGGCUAACUCCGUGCCAGCAGCCGCGGUAAUACGGAGGAUCCGAGCGUUAUCCGGAUUUAUUGGGUUUAAAGGGUGCGCAGGCGGUUUUUUAAGUCAGUGGUCAAAUCGCGGAGCUCAACUCCGUCCCGCCAUUGAUACUGGGAGACUUGAUUGCGGUCGAGGUUGGCGGAAUUCGUCGUGUAGCGGUGAAAUGCAUAGAUAUGACGAAGAACACCGAUUGCGUAGGCAGCUGACCAGGCCGUAAAUGACGCUCAUGCACGAAAGUGCGGGGAUCGAACAGGAUUAGAUACCCUGGUA
This 453-nucleotide ribosomal RNA is filed under the name uncultured Sphingobacterium sp. RNAcentral describes it as "partial 16S ribosomal RNA". It matches the Rfam family "Bacterial small subunit ribosomal RNA", at positions 341 to 792 of the family's 1533-position model. Lineage: Bacteria; Pseudomonadati; Bacteroidota; Sphingobacteriia; Sphingobacteriales; Sphingobacteriaceae. The record is from RNAcentral.